This 467-nucleotide ribosomal RNA is filed under the name uncultured bacterium. RNAcentral describes it as "partial 16S ribosomal RNA". It matches the Rfam family "Bacterial small subunit ribosomal RNA", at positions 28 to 506 of the family's 1533-position model. The record is from RNAcentral.
GACGAACGCUGGCGGCGUGCUUAACACAUGCAAGUCGAACGGAAAGGCCCUGCUUUUGUGGGGUGCUCGAGUGGCGAACGGGUGAGUAACACGUGAGUAACCUGCCCUUUACUUUGGGAUAACUUCAGGAAACUGGGGCUAAUACCUGAUAGGAGCUCCUGCUGCAUGGUGGGGGUUGGAAAGUUUCGUCGGUUGGGGAUGGACUCGCGGCUUAUCAGCUUGUUGGUGGGGUAGUGGCUUACCAAGGCUUUGACGGGUAGCCGGCCUGAGAGGGUGACCGGCCACAUUGGGACUGAGAUACGGCCCAGACUCCUACGGGAGGCAGCAGUGGGGAAUAGUGCACAAUGGGCGGAAGCCUGAUGCAGCAACGCCGCGUGCGGGAUGACGGCCUUCGGGUUGUAAACCGCUUUCGCCUGUGACGAAGCGUGAGUGACGGUAAUGGGUAAAGAAGCACCGGCUAACUACGU